GAUGAAGAACGCAGCGAAAUGCGAUAAGUAAUGUGAAUUGCAGAAUUCAGUGAAUCAUCGAAUCUUUGAACGCACCUUGCGCCUUUUGGUAUUCCGAAAGGCACACCUGUUUGAGCGUCAUGAAUACCUCAAUCUCCAUCUUUUCUUCGGAUUGAUGGGUGACUUGGAUGUUGAGCCCUGCUGGUAUGCUAUAUCAGCUGGCUUUAAACUUAUUAGCCGGCUCUGUACUGGAUCGGUUUGACUCGACGUGAUAAUAUUAUCGUUGAGGAUGCAUGUCUCAUGCAGCCGGAAAGUAUCAAAGCAGCUUCUAGCUUGGCUUUAGUGCACUUUUACAUUUUAGACCUCAGAUCAGGUGGGACUACCCGCUGAACUUAAGCAUAUCAAUAAGCGGAGGA
This 395-nucleotide unclassified non-coding RNA is filed under the name soil metagenome. Its description in RNAcentral is "partial contains 5.8S ribosomal RNA, internal transcribed spacer 2, and large subunit ribosomal RNA". The stretch from base 1 to 120 matches the Rfam family "5.8S ribosomal RNA", at positions 35 to 154 of the family's 154-position model. The record is from RNAcentral.